Molecule: transfer RNA, 72 nt
Filed under: Cavia porcellus (domestic guinea pig)
Lineage: Eukaryota; Metazoa; Chordata; Mammalia; Rodentia; Caviidae
Rfam family: tRNA
About the family: Transfer RNA (tRNA) molecules are approximately 80 nucleotides in length.
Source: Rfam by way of RNAcentral
GGAGGUAUAGUUCAGUGGUAUAGUGUUUGCCUAGCAUGCACAAGGCCCUGAGUUCAAUUCCCAGUAUCCCCC